Molecule: ribosomal RNA, 406 nt
Filed under: uncultured bacterium
Lineage: Bacteria
Description: partial 16S ribosomal RNA
Rfam family: Bacterial small subunit ribosomal RNA
Source: RNAcentral
AUUGAACGCUGGCGGCAGGCCUAACACAUGCAAGUCGAACGAGUGGCGGACGGGUGAAUAAUGUCUGGGAAACUGCACGAUGGAGGGGGAUAACUACUGGAAACGGUAGCUAAUACCGCAUACCAUCGGAUGUGCCCAUGUGGGAUUAGCUAGUAGGUGGGGGAAUGGCUCACCUCGGCGACGAUCCCUCGCUGGUCUGAGAGUAUGACGAGACAAACUGGAACUGAGACACGGUCCAGACUCCUACGGGAGGCAGCAGUGGGGAAUAUUGCACAAUGGGCUCAAGCCUGAUACAGCCAUGCCGCGUGUAUGAAGAAGGCCUUCGGGUUUUAAAGUACUUUCAGCGAGGAGGCGUUACUCGCAGAAGAAGCACCGGCUAACUCCGUGCCAGCAGCCGCGGUAAUAC